AUUUUUUGGAUUGAAAAGCAUAUCUUUUUAAGAUUAAAUAGAAACAACUAAAAUCAUAAAAAUUUUGCUACAUAAUUUUGAAUAAAAUAUAGAAAACAAAUAUAAUGGUCAUAAUAUUUCUUUUGAUGUUUGACUGUCAGUUAAAAUAUGUAAUGUUCAAAUUAGCAAUAAGAGAAUUAUUUUGGAAAUUCUUAAAAUAUUGUUGAAUGUUUAGUGUUGAUUAAAAUUCUUACUAAGUAAAAAUAUGUACGUGAAACUGGUGUUCAAGAAAGUUAAAUGUCAUAACUGCAGUUAGAUUUGUAUUUUGUCUUCUUUUGCAAUGAAUAUAGCAAAAUUUUUAUGUAAACAACCAAUGUUAAGCUGCCAUUUUUUUUUUUUAAAUAUAUACUAGUAUAUUAUAACAAUGUAAAAACAUUUUUAAUACAUUCAAUUGUAUAAGUUAAUGAUAUUUCAUAAUGGAACAACUUGCUUUCUUCUAUAAUAACUAGGUCAAAAAUGCACUAUCAGCAAGUAUCACAAAAAUUUUUUUAAUCAGUAUAACGUUUUCGGACCUACUUCUGGUCCCUCUUCAGUACAGGUUUUUUAAGAACAAAAAAAAAAAGUAGGUCUGAAAAUGUUGUGAUACUGGUAGUGCAUUUUUGACCUAGUUAUUAUAAGUUAAUAUUUUUGACAUAAAAUGUCAUCAAUGUAUAGAAUUACUUAUUAUAAGUAGUUUUCUAGGAUUAUAAUUGAAUGGAUUCUAUUCCAUUCAUCUGCCAUUUUUGAGGAUUGCCCAGGAGUGGCCUUCAUUUAUACAAAUGCAUUGACAAAGAUAUAUUAAUUCCAAAUUAUUGAGUUGUUUCAUAUGAAAACUGUUGUCUUUCAUUACUGGGAGAAUUCUUCCCUCUUGUGGAAAAGUUGUUCAAGUGGUUCUUUGUAAACUCAUCCUAACAUUAAAAAGAUAGUAUCAUCUUAAUUUCUGAAUCAAAAAUUAAUCAAUUUCUGAAAUUUAUUAUUUUUUAAAAUAAUUUAUUAAUUUCUGUAUUUCAGAGUUAAAAAUUGCAUUAUGGUUAAUUAUAAGAAAUUAAGAAUAAUCUAUUUGUUUGAAUGUAAACAAGGGAUUGCUGCAGCAAAUAGAGCCUGGAGAAUCAGUUUGUCAUUCAGAGAAGGUACUGUUAAGCGGCAGUCACACCUUGCGAUUUUUAGCCACGGCCAUGGCCACAACUGUGACUGGAAGAAGUUGCUUGUUGCACUUGACUGUUUGUGGUCACACUGUAGUUACCGCUGUCGCGCUAAUCUCCACUUUUAGCCAAUAAAAUUGUAGCAACGUUCUGACUUGGUUAAGCAAUGAAAUAAGAGCUGACUCGUCUUGUUCAAGUGUAAGCUACAAGAUGGACAGAUUGGAAAGACGAAAAAAAGCGAUAAUUUUGUUAGCCUUGGCUGAUAUACACAGAUCGGAAG
Molecule: long non-coding RNA, 1440 nt
Filed under: Androctonus crassicauda
Lineage: Eukaryota; Metazoa; Arthropoda; Arachnida; Scorpiones; Buthidae
Source: RNAcentral